AGAGUUUGAUCCUGGCUCAGGAUGAACGCUGGCGGCGUGCUUAACACAUGCAAGUCGAACGAAGCACUUCAAAAGCUUGCUUUUGAAGUGACUGAGUGGCGGACGGGUGAGUAACGCGUGGGUAACCUGCCUUUAUACAGGGGGAUAACAGUUGGAAACGACUGCUAAUACCGCAUAAGCGCACAGUGCCGCAUGGCACAGUGUGAAAAACUCCGGUGGUAUAAGAUGGACCCGCGUCUGAUUAGCUAGUUGGUGAGGUAACGGCUCACCAAGGCGACGAUCAGUAGCCGGCUUGAGAGAGUGAUCGGCCACAUUGGGACUGAGACACGGCCCAAACUCCUACGGGAGGCAGCAGUGGGGAAUAUUGCACAAUGGGGGAAACCCUGAUGCAGCAACGCCGCGUGAGUGAAGAAGUAUUUCGGUAUGUAAAGCUCUAUCAGCAGGGAAGAUAAUGACGGUACCUGACUAAGAAGCCCCGGCUAACUACGUGCCAGCAGCCGCGGUAAUACGUAGGGGGCAAGCGUUAUCCGGAUUUACUGGGUGUAAAGGGAGCGUAGGCGGCUUGGCAAGUCUGAUGUGAAAGCCCAGGGCUCAACCCUGGGACUGCAUUGGAAACUGUCAGGCUAGAGUGCAGGAGAGGUAAGUGGAAUUCCUAGUGUAGCGGUGAAAUGCGUAGAUAUUAGGAGGAACACCAGUGGCGAAGGCGGCUUACUGGACUGUAACUGACGCUGAGGCUCGAAAGCGUGGGGAGCAAACAGGAUUAGAUACCCUGGUAGUCCACGCUGUAAACGAUGAAUACUAGGUGUCGGGUCCGUCAAGGAUUCGGUGCCGCAGCUAACGCAAUAAGUAUUCCACCUGGGGAGUACGUUCGCAAGAAUGAAACUCAAAGGAAUUGACGG
This 899-nucleotide ribosomal RNA is filed under the name uncultured bacterium. RNAcentral's name for it is "bacterial SSU rRNA". It matches the Rfam family "Bacterial small subunit ribosomal RNA", at positions 8 to 916 of the family's 1533-position model. The record is from RNAcentral.